This is a non-coding RNA of Pleurotus pulmonarius, 82 nucleotides long. The record is from the annotation of a GenBank genome assembly. NCBI's taxonomy places the organism in Eukaryota, Fungi, Basidiomycota, Agaricomycetes, Agaricales, Pleurotaceae.
GGCUUAGUAGUGUAGUGGUUAUCACACCAGAUUCUGACGCAGAAUCUUUCUGGUAACCCAGGUUCGAAUCCUGGCUAGGCCU